GACGAACGCUGGCGGCGUGCUUAACACAUGCAAGUCGAACGGAAAGGCCCGGCUUUUGCUGGGUGCUCGAGUGGCGAACGGGUGAGUAACAUGUGUGUAACCUGCCCUUGACCUUGGGAUACCUUCAGGACACUGGGGCUAAUACCGGGUAGGAGCUCCUGUUCCAUUGUGUGCGUUGGAAAGUCUCGGCGGUUGGGGAUGGACUCGCGGCUUAUCAGCUUGUUAGGGUGGUAGUGGCUUACCAAGGCUUUGACGGGUAGCCGGCCUGAGAGGGGGGACGGGCACAAUGGGACUGCGAGAGGGAGCAGACGGCUACGGGGGGCAGCAGUGGGGAACAUGGCACAAUGGGCGGGAGCGUGAUGCAGAGGCGCCGCGUGCGGGAAGACGGCUUACGGGUUGUAAAGCGCUUUCGGCGGAGACGCAGCCUGAGUGACGGUAAUGGGUAAAGAAGCCCCGGCUAACUACGUG
Molecule: ribosomal RNA, 468 nt
Filed under: uncultured bacterium
Lineage: Bacteria
Description: partial 16S ribosomal RNA
Rfam family: Bacterial small subunit ribosomal RNA
Source: RNAcentral